GGCGAGAUAGCUCAGUUGGCUAGAGCACACGGUUCAUACCCGUGGUGUCGAGGGUUCGAAUCCCCCUCUCGCUA
This 74-nucleotide transfer RNA is filed under the name Clostridium sp. RNAcentral's name for it is "tRNA-Met". It matches the Rfam family "tRNA". From Rfam's summary of the family: Transfer RNA (tRNA) molecules are approximately 80 nucleotides in length. Their secondary structure includes four short double-helical elements and three loops (D, anti-codon, and T loops). The record is from RNAcentral. RNAcentral also lists the same sequence under 142 other names. Lineage: Bacteria; Bacillati; Bacillota; Clostridia; Eubacteriales; Clostridiaceae.